This 1142-nucleotide ribosomal RNA is filed under the name Bacillus cereus. Its description in RNAcentral is "bacterial SSU rRNA". It matches the Rfam family "Bacterial small subunit ribosomal RNA", at positions 37 to 1160 of the family's 1533-position model. The record is from RNAcentral. Lineage: Bacteria; Bacillati; Bacillota; Bacilli; Caryophanales; Bacillaceae.
GGGCAUGGCGCGUGCUAUACAUGCAGUCGAGCGGACAGAUGGGAGCUUGCUCCCUGAUGUUAGCGGCGGACGGGUGAGUAACACGUGGGUAACCUGCCUGUAAGACUGGGAUAACUCCGGGAAACCGGGGCUAAUACCGGAUGGUUGUUUGAACCGCAUGGUUCAAACAUAAAAGGUGGCUUCGGCUACCACUUACAGAUGGACCCGCGGCGCAUUAGCUAGUUGGUGAGGUAACGGCUCACCAAGGCAACGAUGCGUAGCCGACCUGAGAGGGUGAUCGGCCACACUGGGACUGAGACACGGCCCAGACUCCUACGGGAGGCAGCAGUAGGGAAUCUUCCGCAAUGGACGAAAGUCUGACGGAGCAACGCCGCGUGAGUGAUGAAGGUUUUCGGAUCGUAAAGCUCUGUUGUUAGGGAAGAACAAGUACCGUUCGAAUAGGGCGGUACCUUGACGGUACCUAACCAGAAAGCCACGGCUAACUACGUGCCAGCAGCCGCGGUAAUACGUAGGUGGCAAGCGUUGUCCGGAAUUAUUGGGCGUAAAGGGCUCGCAGGCGGUUUCUUAAGUCUGAUGUGAAAGCCCCCGGCUCAACCGGGGAGGGUCAUUGGAAACUGGGGAACUUGAGUGCAGAAGAGGAGAGUGGAAUUCCACGUGUAGCGGUGAAAUGCGUAGAGAUGUGGAGGAACACCAGUGGCGAAGGCGACUCUCUGGUCUGUAACUGACGCUGAGGAGCGAAAGCGUGGGGAGCGAACAGGAUUAGAUACCCUGGUAGUCCACGCCGUAAACGAUGAGUGCUAAGUGUUAGGGGGUUUCCGCCCCUUAGUGCUGCAGCUAACGCAUUAAGCACUCCGCCUGGGGAGUACGGUCGCAAGACUGAAACUCAAAGGAAUUGACGGGGGCCCGCACAAGCGGUGGAGCAUGUGGUUUAAUUCGAAGCAACGCGAAGAACCUUACCAGGUCUUGACAUCCUCUGACAAUCCUAGAGAUAGGACGUCCCCUUCGGGGGCAGAGUGACAGGUGGUGCAUGGUUGUCCUCAGCUCGUGUCCUGAAAAUGUUGGGUUAAGUCCCCCAACGAGCGCAACCCUUGAUCUUAGUUGCCAACAUUCAGUUGGGCACUCUAAGGUGACUGCCGGUGACA